This 200-nucleotide ribosomal RNA is filed under the name uncultured bacterium. Its description in RNAcentral is "partial 16S ribosomal RNA". It matches the Rfam family "Bacterial small subunit ribosomal RNA", at positions 29 to 240 of the family's 1533-position model. The record is from RNAcentral.
AACGAACGCUGGCGGCGUGCUUAACACAUGCAAGUCGAGUGCGCGGUUGUAGCAAUACAACUGGCGCACGGCGCACGGGUGCGUAACACGUGGGUAACCUGCCCUUUGGUGGGGAAUAACUCCGCGAAAGCGGAGCUAAUUCCGCAUAAGAUCCGCAAGGAUGAAAGCCGCAAGGCGCCGAAGGAGGGGCCCGCGCCCGA